ACUAAAUAGAUACCCGGGUAGUCCACGCCCUAAACGAUGUCUACUAGUUGUUGGUGGAGUAAAAUCCAUGAGUAAACGCAGCUAAACGCGUGAAGUAGACCGCCUGGGGAGUACGGUCGCAAGAUUAAAACUCAAAGGAAUUGACGGGGCCCGCACAAGCGGUGGAUUAUGUGGAUUAAUUCGAUGCAACGCGAAAAACCUUACCUGGCCUUGACAUGCCACUAACGAAGCAGAGAUGCAUUAGGUGCCCGUAAGGGAAAGUGGACACAGGUGCUGCAUGGCUGUCGUCAGCUCGUGUCGUGAGAUGUUGGGUUAAGUCCCGCAACGAGCGCAACCCUUGCCAUUAAUUGCCAUCAUUUAGUUGGGCACUUUAAUGGGACUGCCGGUGACAAACCGGAGGAAGGUGGGGAUGACGUCAAGUCCUCAUGGCCCUUAUGGCCAGGGCUUCACACGUAAUACAAUGGUCGGUACAGAGAGUUGCCAACCCGCGAGGGGUAGCUAAUCUCAGAAAGCCGAUCGUAGUCCGGAUUGUUCU
RNAcentral lists this ribosomal RNA (535 nucleotides) under uncultured bacterium. RNAcentral describes it as "bacterial SSU rRNA". It matches the Rfam family "Bacterial small subunit ribosomal RNA", at positions 772 to 1304 of the family's 1533-position model. The record is from RNAcentral.